Schizosaccharomyces pombe (fission yeast) is the source of this 1492-nucleotide non-coding RNA. The record is from the annotation of a GenBank genome assembly. NCBI's taxonomy places the organism in Eukaryota, Fungi, Ascomycota, Schizosaccharomycetes, Schizosaccharomycetales, Schizosaccharomycetaceae.
CAAAACAACACGUCCGUCGGUACCGCUGGAGGUAAACGCAGUAAUAUUGCCAGGAGUCCCAGCGUAAGGUCGAAGGGUUGCAAUCAUAUUUUGAUGAACGGUUGGUAAAGACGAAAUAGACUGGCUGGAGCCCUUCAAAUCCAUGUUACGGAAUGUGCUACGAAGAGCAGUAAAUGAAACAGGACCCUCUUCCUCUCUACCUUCACCAGUAUUUCCUGUGUGAGUGAAUGAGGUCUUGGAAGUUCCGGCAUCCAAAUCGCGAGUAUGGGCCCAACCGGACUCAUUGCCUUGCAAAAGAAUAGGAGAAUAGUUAUAGCCAGCAGCCACAAUGGCACUCUCAUUCGCCCAAAGAAGAGAACGCAAAGGCAAUUGAGAUAAUUUGACAGUAAUUAGAGCUCGUGGGGGUUGCUCGGGAGCACUGGGAUAUGCAAUCGUAACAGAAGAAUCAUGGCCAGCAUACGCUAAGGCAUUACCCGAAGGUGAAAAUCCAACGGCGUGAACCCAACCACCAGAUGGGUAUUCAGCGCAAACAGUGUUGAAAGGUAAACGUGAACCCCAAACGCUGGCUUCUGGUUUGGCAUCGACAUCACGAACAUAAGCAGAUAAAACGUAUGCCUUACGGUCUGCACAGCCGGCAGCUAAUAAAACGUUAUUAGGAUGCCAGUCCAAAGACAAAAUGGUACUACGAAGCGGACGUUUCAGAUGUUUGCUGACCCACCAGUCAUUUUCUUGUUCAAAGUAGCAAACAGAAAUGACACGAGCACCACUACCAACAGCAAACUUGUCCUCGUUAGGCGACCAACGAACAAACGUAGCGGCACGAUUCAAACGAAGUAAGACGAGGGUCUGCUUCCAAGUCCCAUCAGGACGUUUCUCAUAAACAUAGGCAUUACGGUCUUGAGAGCAAGUUACGAUUCGAUUGGAUUUCGGAGCCCAAUCGACACAAGUUACAAUCUUAUCGUGAUCGCUAAAUGUUCGGGCAUGCUUCCACCCAUUUCCAUCUUGCUCGUAAAGUUCAACUUGGUUCGUAGCAGUUGUGGUGACAAACUCUAUAUCAAAUUUGUUAAAAUCUACUUAUUUAGGUCCUAUACUGUACCUGUUCUUUGACUAUUGAACGCGUGUUCGUAAGAGGGUUUAGGAAGAAUGUGUAAAACUUGAGAGGUAGCCAUUUUUCAGUAACAGGACUAGCAGUCUACUGUUUUGCGGAUGAUAGACGAUAUCCAAGGCUGAAUCGAUAUUGGUGAUGACGAGAGCAGUAGAUACAUUAACAAAAAACGUUAGAGUACUUUAUAUACGAUAACGCAUAUCGAUGGUAUCGGUAACUCCUUUGUUUACAUUUUAAAGGUUUGUAAAUAUUACAACUCAAUUAAGACUAAAAAAAAUUCCAUUAAAUAAAAUUUGAUUUUCUUGCAUAUCUUUUAGAGAUUUUUUAUUUUUAAAAUAUGAGGUGGAUACAAGAUUUCUAUUUGCGUUGAUUGUGGAAGAACAAUAG